GGGGGGGGGGGAUGGAAACGUGCACAAUAAAACCAAAAUAGAAGGGGACAUUCAAAAGUUAUAUUCAGGUGGGGUUUAUAAGUCGAUGAUUCUAUAACUUUACAAAAUAAGAUCUUCUUGGAUAUUGCUUUCAAUUUUGGACGCAGGAGGACUUCAUCUUCUCACUCGCAAAAGUUACGCAAAAUUCAAAGACGAUAGAGAUCACGAGUAGAACAAAAUGACG
RNAcentral lists this long non-coding RNA (223 nucleotides) under Mytilus galloprovincialis (Mediterranean mussel). The record is from RNAcentral. Lineage: Eukaryota; Metazoa; Mollusca; Bivalvia; Mytilida; Mytilidae.